This is a non-coding RNA of Equus caballus (horse), 5663 nucleotides long. The record is from RefSeq and is a predicted model, not a curated record. NCBI's taxonomy places the organism in Eukaryota, Metazoa, Chordata, Mammalia, Perissodactyla, Equidae.
GUUAUGCUAUAUUUUUUAGGAAAUAAUGACAAGAAGAAAAGUUUGUACAUGUUUAGUACAGACGCAAUCGUCAUAGGCCUUCAAAUCCGCGUUGGUAGAAUCGCGAAUGUGGAACUGGGGAUAGAGGGUCGACUAUACAUGUUCCCUUUGUUGACACUUACCUGGUUUCCAAAAAAAUCUACAUGUGAUUCUAGCAAUUGUAUUUGGAAGGUAAUUCAAGAUUUUUCUCACACAUUAUUUUGUUAAAAGUGAGUGAGUUUGGGGCACAUACAUUUUUUCUUUGUAAACAUCAGCCAAAAACAUUAUUUUGAGAAAGGUGUACAUUCCGUGAAAUUUGGGUACUAUAAACCAAAAUGGGUUCUACAAAGAAAAUGUUAACUGGAAGAUACUCUGGAGAAUGUGCCUAUAUUCUCUCAUGUAACUUUUCACAGUUUCCAGCAAUUAAUUUCCCUCCUUUCACAGACAGAAAGUUGAAGUUCAGAGAGCUUGAGUGACUUGCUAAAGGUCUCUUGUAUGCUAAAAGUGUCCAUAAAUAUAUUUAUUGAUUUUACUGAAAUUCAUUUAUUUAAUUUGCCUUGAUAUUUUCAAGAAUCUAGAGCUAGCUAAAUUACUCCCUUUCAUGAAGAAUCUUCUUUCUCCAGUCAUUCCUAGUGUUUCAUUUCUUGUGAAUACUGAAUAAAUAUUUGCUGACUACUAUAUAUUCAACCCCUUUGAUCCCUUUCGCUUCAAAAGGAGAAAAAGUGGUAACUCUGGUUUGCCCAGCUUAAGAGAAAGAAUAGUAACUUUGCAUUCCACAUAUAGUAUUGUCUUUCCUAUAGCUAAAUUAUAUUGCAUACCUUUAAAUCCAUGUAAUUUCCAUGUAUUUACAUUCAAUUUCCUAUCUUUUAAAAGUGUCCAUAUUCAUAUUUUACAUUCUCAACAACUUUUCCUCUGCAACUUUGUAUCCCUCUCUCUUUUAUUUUUGUACUAUUACCACAAAUAAUAUCACCUUAAAUUGUGCAAAAUGAAGUUGUUUUUUCAGUUAUUCAGUUUGGAUACAAUUCAAUAAUUUCCAUCAAAAUAGUUACUUGGAAAGUCAUUCCAGCUGCCAUUACCUGUCUGAACCAAAGGCAUCAUUCUAUUAUCAUUCUAUUUUCAGAAACUCAAUUUCGUAGGUUUGUGUGAAAAUCCUGGUUACAUAGUGGCAAGCCUGCCUGGACCUUCCAGUUAGUACUGCUUUUUACCAGACAACAGGGAAAAAUUGUCUUACAUUAGCAAUAUUUUUGAUAACUUUAAUCACGUUUGUCUUUCUAAGUACCUGGAAUACUCAAAACGAAUGACUGAUUCAUAUUGACCUGCUAGCAGCUAACCACGUAAGUGUUUAUUAGAACGGUGUUCCUGAAUUCUCUAGAAAUAUAAGAGUUCAAGGUGGUUUUCACUUCAACCAUUUUGUUCUUUUCAUACAUAAGGCUGGGAAGUUCUUGAGGGUGUUUUCAAUAUGCUAAUUUAUAGGGAAAUGCAAUGUUUUUCCCAUUGCUAAAAUUUCUGGAACUUUUACUUUUUCAAAUGGCCCUCAGGUCUAAGCCUAUCCUUUGUCAUGUAGAGAAGAGUGUUUUUAGUGACUUUUUGUGUUUCUCAAUAUCAAACAUUCAUUAAGAACGGAUGGUUUAUUUCUAAGUUUAGAAACAACUUCAGGUUAGAUAUUACUUUUUCCUUCAGGAAAUUUCACCAGUGCUCUCCUAAAUGUCCAGACAUCCAUUAUACUUUUUUCUUUUAUAUUUACUCAAGAAAAUUUAUCGUUUGAUUCCUUGGCUUGUCUUCUUGGACUUUCGGUUGUGUGCAGGUAUCUGCUCCCUCUUUCAGUAUGAAGUUUUGCCGAUUAAUACAUCAGCUAUGUGGUCUGAGGGCCACAUGAAAUUCUUUAGAGCCGUUUUCCUUAGGCUUUCUAUGCAUAAAUCAUCUUUACCCUUUUGAAUGGAAAAUUUCAUUAAAAUUAAUAGGUUUAAUUUAAAGUAAAUUAUUUAAAUUGGUUAGUUAAAAAUUUUGACAGUCACAAUGUAUCAAUGCAUAUUGACUCUAUUAAUACAAUUUUCCUGUUUGCUUUGACCUUUAUUUUUCUUUACUCAAUUGAACAGAUAUUUUUGAGUGCUUACAUUGUGCUCGGAAGUGUAGGAGAUAAAAAAUGAAACAUAAAUCCUGCCCUCUGGGUUUAGGCGUAUACAAGUACAAUAGUCCAAUCAACGUAAGGAUGGGGAGGCAUUUGGGAUUCUGCUCCAUACGUCAUUCAGGGUUCCAGGCUUCCUCAACAUGUGGAUUUCAAGUUUUCAAGGAGUCCAGAGAUUGCAGGAUCCAGAGAAAACCCCGGGGUGAUGAUCGCCGCCUCCGGUACCAAGCUGGACAAUGGCCUAGAGAAGACUCAGAGGCCACUACGAAAUCUCCUAUCUGCCAAAACUCCCAGCGCUUUCAACUUCUCCUAGACAAACAAUAAUUUGACUUUUGCUUCUCUUUUACCUUCAGAAUCCCAUGCAAGAGACUCUCAUUGAUGAGAUUCUUGGAAAUUUAGCUCCAAUCUUUUAACUCCAAUACAGACCAUGGAAGGGAGACAAUGACAAGUUACGAAUGACAAUCUAAACAGUAGUUUUUAUUGUUAAGUAUAUGUGCAUUCACUGUAUUUUUAUCAGCAUGCUUUAUAAAAUGAGACUUCUGCAGCAAUAAACUAAUGGAAAAAACUUUGAAGAGUAAUUAAACCUAUCAGUGAGUUAAAUGAUACUUAACAGGUUGACAAAAUAGGUAAAAUUCAGACCAUUAUAAGGAAACAAAAAGGUUUUAUAUCAUAAAAAGUAAAAUUAAAAUUGAUUAAUGUAUUUCACAAAGCUGAAUUCUGUGAAUGCAAAGCAUUUUAUGCAACAUAUUAGUAGAACUGCAAUUGUGAAAUUAGCCUUAAGAUAUUCAUAUGAUAUUAAUGGGAAAUGGUAUUUUUAUAGAAAUGUGAAGUGGUAAGCAGUUCGUGAAAGGAAAUUUUUCAUAAUCUAUUUCCAGUAUAAAACGUUUUUAAAGAUUCAUUUCUUUGGUUUCUAAUUGGUCACUUUGACCUAUUUCUAUAAUCUUUUUAUCAUAGUAAAAAUAUGUGUGUUUUCUGUGUAUGUAAAAGUUUUCUAGAGAUUCUAUAUACACAAUUGAAGUCAGUGCUCAUUUGCAUAUGUCAAGGAAAUAUUAUUAUAAUUUGCUUUAUUCAUUGAUCUAGGAAUUGCUGUAACAGCGCUUCUCUCCAUCUUUAGUGGAAUGAGUGACUUUUACCUGUGCUUGAUGUUUUCCCAUUUUCCCAUUUGGUUACCUUCCACCCUCUCCUCCCUCUCCUGUGCCCUGGGCAGUGGACCUCCAUGGACCCCUUCCAUGAGUUUUCUCGCCCUUGGCUGCCAGUUGGAUUUAGCCAGUGUGAGGCACUGGCAGCAGGAGAUGGACGCUUGGGAUAAAAGUUCCGGCUAUUUAUUUCUCCAGGCAAUUCGCCAUCAGUCCUUUCAAGCAGCCUUCUCCAUAGAAUUAUUUUCUCUAGAUUUCAGUAACUGCUUCAUCGUCAGAUCCUUCAGGCCCAGGGGUGAUAAUAGCUCCCUGGGGAGCUGCACUAUCUCCUGCAGUAUCUCUCCCAUAAACCCAAACCACACCUUCGUCACUAGUCCUUUUCAUUAAACUCUCUUCAAUUAGCAAGUUUCAAUCUGUUUUCUGUUUUCUUCCAAGACUUUGGCUAAUAUAAUACCCUUUGCAAGCUAUGCUAUAGAAAGAAUUGCUAUGACUAAUGAAAAAGAUACCCAUGCUCUAAUAAAACUUGGCUUCAGCAGUUUUCUAGAUUUAUGCUUUAAGGUCUCUGUGAGCAUACCUGGCCUUGAAGCCAAGACUACAAUAUAGCUAAUAUUCAAAGCGCGAUUAAUUCAUCCCUUGUUUAAUCUGUCAACAAAUAUUUCUCAAACUCUUACGCUGCGUGCUGACCUAUGUUUGCUGCAGAUAAGAGUAUAGCAGUCUAAGGCAUGGCUGCUGCCCUUAAGAUGCUUGCUUUCUUCUCGGAGUCUUUCAGACCCUUGUUUUUAACCCCUAUCUGUCACUAGUCUAAUGAGCCAUAUUACAUAUAUAACGAAAUUUAAAGCACUUAUUAAAUAAUGUAACAUUCUAAAUAAUAUACAUAUAAAAUAAUAAAAAUUGUUCAUUUUCCCUAUCUAGUAAAUGAGUUAUUAAAUCAGCACGUUAAUCCUUACUACCUUUCUUCAGCCAACCUGUCCAUUUUGGAAGAAAGAAGUUAUGGGGAACAGAGAAGAUAUGAUAUUUUGUUAUUCAAAACUUAACUGUAGUGUGCCAUUUCUCCACCUCCAUCCAAGGCCAAGUAGAGCACAAACUGGGGAAAAAAAGAGUUUAAUAUUAUCCCUGCCUGAUUUUUUAUAGUAAUCGGCACCAAGUUUUUUAACACCGCAGGAUAAAUUUAUCAGUCCUUUCUAUGUGUAAACUUACCUGGUUUAACUAGGCGAUUCAAAUUUUAUUGGGUAAUUUUCUAAUAGGCAUAAAUUUGACUGUUGAGUUAUAAAAUUUGAACUUGGAUGGGUAGUUUUUCUGUAGAUUUUCAUACCAAGGAAAAACCUUGGAGUUGUCUGUUUUCCUCCUACCCCUUAGUGCUGCCUCCACUCUGCCACAGCCAAUCACCACCAAAGUCCCAGAGAUAUUAUCUUCACAAUAUUACACUCCUUGAUGAACCAAAUGUUUGCUGAGUGAGGUACUCUUCUACGUGCUUGGGAUACAUCCAUGAGCAAAAUGCAGGUCUUGGCUCUGUUAGAACAAACACUCCAGCAGGGAGAGACAAUAAACAGUGGACAUAACAAAUAAUUAUACAUAUGUUAGUGGGUGAAAAGUGCCACGAAAAGUGACAAAGAAGAAUAAAAUGAGGGGGGACUUCCUCAUUUUAUAAAUGUGGGUGGCUACAGGAGGUCUCAACAAGAUGGUGGCAUUUGAAUAAAGAUGUGAAGGAGGCAGGAGUGUUAGCCAUCUGAGGAUGAGGCAUUCCAUUCCAGGCACAAGGAAGAGUCUGCAAUGACCCGAAGGUGAGAGCGUACUCGGCACAUUGAAAAGAUAGAAAAAACUGCUAAAGCGUGGAAGGGUUCAGAGGGUAAACAAAGUGCAGGUCAGAGAGAUAAUAGGGAAUAAGAUCAUAUAGGGCCUUGGAGGUCAUUUAAAGAAUUGUGGCUUCUACUCUGAGUGAGUGCAGAAUCAUUGAAGGGUUUUGAGCAAGGAGUGAUAAGACUUAUGUGUUUUAAAGAAAAUUUGGCUGUGGUAUUGGGAAUAGGACUUGGUGGAGUAAAGGUGGAGUAGAGAGAAUAGCUGGGAGGUUACUGCCAUAACACAGGCAAAGGCAUUGAUGACUCAGGCUGGGGGAGCACAUCCCCCAGGAAAUAGCUGGGUAAGACUAUGUUUCAAAGUUACAGCUGAGAGAGUUUACCGAUGGGUCAGAUGUGGAACUUAAGAAAAAGAGGAGUUAAGGAUGACCGAAAGGAUUUUGCCUAAGCAACUGGAAGAAUGGAAUUGCCAUCCACUGAGAAGAGAAGACUGCAGAUAGAAGAUGAUUGCAAGCAAAAGUCAAGAGUUCAGUUUUCUUUUUUUGAUUUUUUAAUUUUUUUUCCUUUUUCUCCCCAAACUCCCCCAGUACA